UAUUUUGUUGCAGGAAAUAUGGCUGUCCAAAAGUCGAAAGCUGUUAAAAACGGAAAAAUCUACUACUAUCCUGCUACAGGAUUCAUUGAAGAGAGGCUUCGUAAUGUGCGAAAGAAGAUAAGGAGUCAUGGAUUUGAUCAGCAAUCACAUGAAGUCAAUGAACCACAGAGGGUUCAAAUACCAGAUCAGGGGUGUGAAACUCAAGACAUCCAGGGAGACAUCCAGCCUCCUGCUGGUUUUUCAGAAAUUCUUCCUUAUGUGCUGUAGAAUGCCUGGAUCAAGUAUGUUUAGCCGAUAGGGAGCUUCAACAGCAGAAUCGAUGGUGCCGGAAGAGCGGUCACAACAACAAAAGGAGUGGCUGAAACACAACUGCUACCCUCUAACCCAAGUACAGGAGUACAUGGAGGAAACAGCUCUCUACAGAGCGAAUUGGAUUCGAGCAAAUCCCUCCAGAGGCAUUUUUGAGAUUCUGGCUGAGUACCCUCGCCUCACCAGUUCAG
This 500-nucleotide long non-coding RNA is filed under the name Oryzias javanicus (javanese ricefish). Its description in RNAcentral is "lncRNA (ENSOJAG00000019105.1)". The record is from RNAcentral. Lineage: Eukaryota; Metazoa; Chordata; Actinopteri; Beloniformes; Adrianichthyidae.